This 107-nucleotide ribosomal RNA is filed under the name Echinops telfairi (small Madagascar hedgehog). Lineage: Eukaryota; Metazoa; Chordata; Mammalia; Afrosoricida; Tenrecidae. The record is from RNAcentral.
AUCCAUGGCCAUACCAUCCUGAACAUACUUGAUCUCAGAAGUUAAACAGCCUAGUUAGUACUUAAUUGGGAGACCUCCUAAUGCUGUAGGCUUGGUGGCCCAGGUCA